GCCCGGAUGGUCUAGUGGUAUGAUUCGCCCUUAGGGUGGGCGAGGUCCCCGGUUCAAUCCCGGGUUCGGGCC
Molecule: transfer RNA, 72 nt
Filed under: Rhizoctonia solani
Lineage: Eukaryota; Fungi; Basidiomycota; Agaricomycetes; Cantharellales; Ceratobasidiaceae
Also listed under: 3 other names
Description: tRNA-Pro
Source: RNAcentral